ACACUCCUACGGGAGGCAGCAGUAGGGAAUCUUCGGCAAUGGGGGCAACCCUGACCGAGCAACGCCGCGUGAGUGAAGAAGGUUUUCGGAUCGUAAAGCUCUGUUGUAAGUCAAGAACGAGUGUGAGAGUGGAAAGUUCACACUGUGACGGUAGCUUACCAGAAAGGGACGGCUAACUACGUGCCAGCAGCCGCGGUAAUACGUAGGUCCCGAGCGUUGUCCGGAUUUAUUGGGCGUAAAGCGAGCGCAGGCGGUUUGAUAAGUCUGAAGUUAAAGGCUGUGGCUCAACCAUAGUUCGCUUUGGAAACUGUCAAACUUGAGUGCAGAAGGGGAGAGUGGAAUUCCAUGUGUAGCGGUGAAAUGCGUAGAUAUAUGGAGGAACACCGGUGGCGAAAGCGGCUCUCUGGUCUGUAACUGACGCUGAGGCUCGAAAGCGUGGGGAGCGAACAGGAUUAGAUACCCUAGUAGUCCC
Molecule: ribosomal RNA, 472 nt
Filed under: uncultured organism
Description: partial 16S ribosomal RNA
Rfam family: Bacterial small subunit ribosomal RNA
Source: RNAcentral